This 739-nucleotide ribosomal RNA is filed under the name uncultured marine bacterium. Its description in RNAcentral is "bacterial SSU rRNA". It matches the Rfam family "Bacterial small subunit ribosomal RNA", at positions 8 to 750 of the family's 1533-position model. The record is from RNAcentral.
AGAGUUUGAUCAUGGCUCAGAUUGAACGCUGGCGGCAAGCCUCAUACAUGCAAGUCGAACGAGAAAGCAUCUUCGGAUGCGAGUAAAGUGGCGGACGGGUGAGUAAUACAUAGGAAUCUACCCAAUGGCGGGGGACAGCUCGAGGAAACUCGAAUUAAUACCGCAUAAUCUCUACGGAGUAAAGAGGGCUUCGCUCUCACCAUCGGAUGAGCCUAUGCAAAAUUAGCUUGUUGGUGAGGUAAUGGCUUACCAAGGCUACGAUCUUUAGCUGGUUUGAGAGGAUGACCAGCCACAUCGGGACUGAGACACGGCCCGGACUUCUACGGAAGGCAGCAGUAGGGAAUAUUGGACAAUGAGCGAAAGCUUGAUCCAGCUAUGCCGCGUGUGCGAUGACGGCCCUCGGGUUGUAAAGCACUUUAGGUAACGAGGAAAAGUUAGGUGUUAAUACCACUUAACCAUGACGUUAAUUACAGAAUAAGCACCGGCUAAAUCCGUGCCAGCAGCCGCGGUAAUACGGAUGGUGCAAGCGUUAAUCGGAAUUACUGGGCGUAAAGCGCGCGUAGGUGGCAUACUAAGUUAGAUGUGAAAUCCCGGGGCUUAACUCCGGAACUGCAUCUAAAACUGGUAAGCUAGAGUACUAGAGAGGAAAGUAGAAUUCUUAGUGUAGCGGUGGAAUGCGUAGAUAUUAAGAGGAAUACCAAUGGCGAAGGCAACUUUCUGGAUAGAUACUGACACUGAG